Molecule: ribosomal RNA, 450 nt
Filed under: uncultured bacterium
Lineage: Bacteria
Description: bacterial SSU rRNA
Rfam family: Bacterial small subunit ribosomal RNA
Source: RNAcentral
AACGAACGCUGGCGGCAUGCCUAACACAUGCAAGUCGAACGAGACCUUCGGGUCUAGUGGCGCACGGGUGCGUAACGCGUGGGAAUCUGCCCUUGGGUUCGGAAUAACAGCGAGAAGUUGCUGCUAAUACCGGAUGAUGACGUAAGUCCAAAGAUUUAUCGCCCAAGGAUGAGCCCGCGUAGGAUUAGCUAGUUGGUGAGGUAAAGGCUCACCAAGGCGACGAUCCUUAGCUGGUCUGAGAGGAUGAUCAGCCACACUGGGACUGAGACACGGCCCAGACUCCUACGGGAGGCAGCAGUGGGGAAUAUUGGACAAUGGGCGAAAGCCUGAUCCAGCAAUGCCGCGUGAGUGAUGAAGGCCUUAGGGUUGUAAAGCUCUUUUACCCGGGAUGAUAAUGACAGUACCGGGAGAAUAAGCUCCGGCUAACUCCGUGCCAGCAGCCGCGGUAAU